GGGAGGGUGUGUCUAGUGACAGAGUUAGGGAGGGAAGGGGUGACUAGUGACAGUGAGGAAGGGGGUGACUAGGGACAGAGUGAGGGAGGUGGUGACUAGUGACAGUCACCACCUCCCUCACUCUGUCACUCCCUCCCUCUGUCACUAGUCACCCACUCCCUCCCUCCCUCUGUCACCAGUCAUCCCCUCACUCUGUCACUAGUAACCCCUUCCUUCCCUCACUCUGUCACUAGUAACCCCUUCCUUCCC
This is a non-coding RNA of Pelobates cultripes (western spadefoot toad), 249 nucleotides long. NCBI's taxonomy places the organism in Eukaryota, Metazoa, Chordata, Amphibia, Anura, Pelobatidae. The record is from the annotation of a GenBank genome assembly.